GAUGAAGAACGUAGCGAAAUGCGAUAAGUAAUGUGAAUUGCAGAAUUCAGUGAAUCAUCGAAUCUUUGAACGCACCUUGCGCUCCUUGGUAUUCCGAGGAGCAUGCCUGUUUGAGUGUCAUUAAAUUCUCAACCUUAUUGGCUUUUGCUGAUAAUGGCUUGGACUUGGGGGUCUUUUUGCUGGCUUUCAUUAGUCUGCUCCCCUUAAAUGUAUUAGCCGGUGCCCCGCAGUGGAACCGUCUAUUGGUGUGAUAAUUAUCUACGCCGUGGACGUCUGCUAUAAUGGGUUUGCGCUGCUUCUAACCGUCUCUCGGGACAACACAAAUGACAAUUUGACCUCAAAUCAGGUAGGACUACCCGCUGAACUUAAGCAUAUCAUAAGCGGAGGA
This 388-nucleotide unclassified non-coding RNA is filed under the name soil metagenome. RNAcentral's name for it is "partial contains 5.8S ribosomal RNA, internal transcribed spacer 2, and large subunit ribosomal RNA". The stretch from base 1 to 120 matches the Rfam family "5.8S ribosomal RNA", at positions 35 to 154 of the family's 154-position model. The record is from RNAcentral.